Molecule: ribosomal RNA, 655 nt
Filed under: Halomonas sp.
Lineage: Bacteria; Pseudomonadati; Pseudomonadota; Gammaproteobacteria; Oceanospirillales; Halomonadaceae
Description: bacterial SSU rRNA
Rfam family: Bacterial small subunit ribosomal RNA
Source: RNAcentral
CUGACACUGAGGUGUGAAAGCGUGGGUAGCAAACAGGAUUAGAUACCCUGGUAGUCCACGCCGUAAACGAUGUCGACCAGCCGUUGGGUGCCUAGAGCACUUUGUGGCGAAGUUAACGCGAUAAGUCGACCGCCUGGGGAGUACGGCCGCAAGGUUAAAACUCAAAUGAAUUGACGGGGGCCCGCACAAGCGGUGGAGCAUGUGGUUUAAUUCGAUGCAACGCGAAGAACCUUACCUACCCUUGACAUCUACAGAAGCCGGAAGAGAUUGGGGUGUGCCUUCGGGAACUGUAAGACAGGUGCUGCAUGGCUGUCGUCAGCUCGUGUUGUGAAAUGUUGGGUUAAGUCCCGUAACGAGCGCAACCCUUGUCCUUAUUUGCCAGCACGUAAUGGUGGGAACUCUAAGGAGACUGCCGGUGACAAACCGGAGGAAGGUGGGGAGGACGUCAAGUCAUCAUGGCCCUUACGGGUAGGGCUACACACGUGCUACAAUGGCCGGUACAAAGGGCGGCGAGCUCGCGAGAGUCAGCGAAUCCCUUAAAGCCGGUCUCAGUCCGGAUCGGAGUCUGCAACUCGACUCCGUGAAGUCGGAAUCGCUAGUAAUCGUGAAUCAGAAUGUCACGGUGAAUACGUUCCCGGGCCUUGUACACACCGCC